This 328-nucleotide ribosomal RNA is filed under the name uncultured eukaryote. Its description in RNAcentral is "partial 18S ribosomal RNA". It matches the Rfam family "Eukaryotic small subunit ribosomal RNA", at positions 1470 to 1796 of the family's 1831-position model. The record is from RNAcentral.
CCCUUAGAUGUUCUGGGCUGCACGCGCGCUACACUGAUGCGUUCAACGAGUUUAUCACCUUGCCCGAUAGGGUUGGGUAAUCUUUUGAAAACGCAUCGUGAUGGGGAUAGAUUAUUGUAAUUAUUAAUCUUCAACGAGGAAUUCCUAGUAAGUGCGAAUCAUCAGUUCGCGCUGAUUACGUCCCUGCCCUUUGUACACACCGCCCGUCGCUCCUACCGAUUGAGUGGUCCGGUGAGGCUUUGGGAUCUGAGCGGAAAGAGCGUUUCGCUGUUUCUGCUCGGAAAACUCAGUCGAACCUUAUCAUUUAGAGGAAGGAGAAGUCGUAACA